RNAcentral lists this long non-coding RNA (1344 nucleotides) under Homo sapiens (human). RNAcentral describes it as "non-protein coding lnc-RHD-4:1". Lineage: Eukaryota; Metazoa; Chordata; Mammalia; Primates; Hominidae. The record is from RNAcentral.
UCAGACAAACGGGCCGAUACGUACGAAUGGGCUACCAUAAGCCCCGCCCCUUCCGGGAGGUCUCCGGAAGUUGGGACCCUUUUAGCUAUGAAAUAUUUUGGAUUGCGUAGGGUCUUGCGCAGCCGCGAAAAGUAGCGUGGGCCAGGACAGCGGGAGGUAAGUCGCCAAGAAAAGGGUUGGGAAGAGCUCAGAAUCGGACGGCUAGGAAGAAAUGACCAAAAGGAGCCUGAUAGCCCCCUAUUCUGCACGCUGUUCCUGGAAACCGCCUUUGCAAAGACAGUGAGAGAAAUCUAACAUGGCUCACUCCAUCUUGCUUCUAGCCUCGCAGGCCGGCUGUCUUCGCUCAUUCCUGGGCAUAAACCAAGCUAACCAUGGGAGAAUUUAUAGUUUAACUUUUAAGCAAGGAUGAUCAUAGUCCCUUCCUUAAACAGGGCCCCUCCUUGUUUGGGGGCUGAAACUGCCUUUAUAAAACUAAUGAAAGACCGGGAGGUUAGGAUUAUGAGGGGAGAAUUCUGCUAAAAUGUAGUAAACGAUAACCAGCCAUUGUUUCGGAGGACAUCGGAUGUGUAACUUCCCCAAUUAUUCCUGUAGAUAACGUUAUCGUAGCACCUAAGAUUGGUCUUUUGAGGCAUUUUUCAGACUUUCGCAUUCUGGCAACUAACUGACCCCACCCAGACUCGUGACCCAUGACCCAACCGCUUCUUCUGUCCCACUCCUCCCCCAAGAGGCGGACUCAGCUGUUGAGGAGUGUAGUCCACACCCCUGUGAUUGCAUCUCCAACCAAUCAGCAGCAUCCAUUCCCUAGUGCCCUGCCCACACCAAACUAUGAAAUACCCUAACCUCUGAGCUGACCCUUCAGGAAAACUUACUUGAGUGGUAACCCUUCUUCCCUGAGGCCAGCCUCAGGUUAAUACAACUGUAUACUGCAGUAGCACUUUUCAGUGAAUUGGUUUUGUCUGCAGUAAGCAGGAAAAACCUGCAGUGCCAUUCAUUCCCAUGAGUGGAAAGUUCUUUCCAUUUAGAGCUUAAGGUGUUGUCACUUUCUCCAAGAAGCAGGUCUUGCCCUUGGCCUGGUGUGGUGGUUCAUGGCUGCAAUCCCAGCACAUUGCGGGGCGGAGGCGGGAGGAUUGCUUGAGCCCAGGAGUUCAAGACCAGCCUGGACAACAAAGUAAGAAUCAGUCUCUAAAUUAAAAAAUAAAAGUAAUUUUUUUUUGUUUUUUUGUUUUGAGACAGAGUCUUGCACUAUCACCCAGGCUGGAGUGCAGUGGCACCGAUCUCGGCUUACUGCAACGUCCGGCUCCCGGGUUCAGACGAUUCUCCUGCCUCAGCUUCCCGAGUAGCUGG